This 484-nucleotide ribosomal RNA is filed under the name uncultured bacterium. Its description in RNAcentral is "partial 16S ribosomal RNA". It matches the Rfam family "Bacterial small subunit ribosomal RNA", at positions 29 to 507 of the family's 1533-position model. The record is from RNAcentral.
AUUGAACGCUGGCGGCAUGCUUUACACAUGCAAGUCGAACGGCAGCGCGGGCUUCGGCCUGGCGGCGAGUGGCGAACGGGUGAGUAAUACAUCGGAACGUGCCCAGUGGUGGGGGAUAGCUCGGCGAAAGCCGGAUUAAUACCGCAUACGACCUGAGGGUGAAAGCGGGGGAUCUUCGGACCUCGCGCUAUUGGAGCGGCCGAUGGCGGAUUAGCUAGUUGGUGGGGUAAAGGCCUACCAAGGCGACGAUCUGUAGCUGGUCUGAGAGGACGACCAGCCACACUGGGACUGAGACACGGCCCAGACUCCUACGGGAGGCAGCAGUGGGGAAUUUUGGACAAUGGGCGAAAGCCUGAUCCAGCAAUGCCGCGUGUGUGAUGAAGGCCUUCGGGUUGUAAAGCACUUUUGGCGGGAACGAAAAGGACUGUGCCAAUACCACGGUUCGAUGACGGUACCCGCAGAAUAAGCACCGGCUAACUACGUG